ACAGAGACUUAUCCUUCCGUAGGUUGGGAGAUUUAUCCUUGUCUAGUUACCCAGAUUAUCCUUCUAAGUUUACAAGAGUUAUCCUUCACCAGGACCUCCACUUAUCCUUCUAAGACACAGACUUAUCCUUCCGUAGGUUGGGAGAUUUAUCCUUGUCUAGUUACCCAGAUUAUCCUUCUAAGUUUACAAGAGUUAUCCUUCAUCAGGACCUCCACUUAUCCUUCUAAGACAGAGACUUAUCCUUCCGUAGGUUGGGAGAUUUAUCCUUGUCUAGUUACCCAGAUUAUCCUUCUAAGUUUACAAGAGUUAUCCUUCACCAGGACCUCCACUUAUCCUUCUAAGACACAGACUUAUCCUUCCGUAGGUUGGGAGAUUUAUCCUUGUCUAGUUACCCAGAUUAUCCUUCUAAGUUUACAAGAGUUGUCCUUCACCAGGACCUCCACUUAUCCUUCUAAGACACAGACUUAUCCUUCCGUAGGUUGGGAGAUUUAUCCUUGUCUAGUUACCCAGAUUAUCCUUCUAAGUUUACAAGAGUUAUCCUUCACCAGGACCUCCACUUAUCCUUCUAAGACACAGACUUAUCCUUCCGUAGGUUGGGAGAUUUAUCCUUGUCUAGUUACCCAGAUUAUCCUUCUAAGUUUACAAGAGUUAUCCUUCACCAGGACCUCCACUUAUCCUUCUAAGUUAUUAGAUUUAUCCUUGUGUAGGACACAGACUUAUCCUUCCGUAGGUUGGGAGAUUUAUCCUUGUCUAGUUACCCAGAUUAUCCUUCUAAGUUUACAAGAGUUAUCCUUCACCAGGACCUCCACUUAUCCUUCUAAGUUACUAGAUUUAUCCUUUUGUAGGACAGAGACUUAUCCUUCCGUAGGUUGGGAGAUUUAUCCUUGUCUAGUUACCUAG
This 900-nucleotide long non-coding RNA is filed under the name Oryza sativa Indica Group (long-grained rice). RNAcentral describes it as "lncRNA OsMH63_06G001520". Lineage: Eukaryota; Viridiplantae; Streptophyta; Magnoliopsida; Poales; Poaceae. The record is from RNAcentral.